Molecule: long non-coding RNA, 780 nt
Organism: Ipomoea triloba (trilobed morning glory)
Lineage: Eukaryota; Viridiplantae; Streptophyta; Magnoliopsida; Solanales; Convolvulaceae
Exons: 4
Source: RefSeq, a predicted model, not a curated record
CCUAAUCCCUAAUUCCCUAUCUUUCCUCUACUGAUUGUUGCGAUUCCUGCGAACUUGCGAAGUGCGAAUGACGAACAGCGGCGAAGUGCAACUCCGACCAGCUGCGCGGACGACGGCGACCAGCCCUCAGCGACCGCGACCAACCCUCCCCUCCGCAACCGCGACCAGCGACCAUCCCUCUCCACGCCUCCGCGACCGCGACCAGCCGACUGUGUUCAGUGUUCUGGACCUCUGAUUUGGCAUAUAAGUAUAUUGUUAAUGUGACAGUGUGACUGUGAGUAAGAGGGGUACUGACUAGUGACUACGGAGUGUAAAGAGAAAGAUGUAUGUUCUAUUUUCCUAAUAUGAGAAUGGGACAAGUUUAGUUUCUACUUCAAUUUUAACUUCAGCUUCAACUUCAACUUCAUCUUCUUCACAUGUUCAAGCACAUUCCUCUCAUGCACGACAAGUAAAUUACUUUGGAGAGUAUACGGAUUUUUCUAGUGAAAAUGUUAGUGUUAUUAAAAAAAUAUGAUCUAGAUACAUAUCUAGAAGAGUGAAUCACUUGAGAAGGCUUCUAACUUCUAAUGUUCUUGGACUCUUGGUGAAUGAAGUCGUGAAGAUGAAUGAUGAUGGCAUGAUGCUAAUAAUGCUAUUUGUAUUGAGUAUUGUCUAGUGGAGUAUUAUUAAAAAAUUAUUGUGAUAAUUGAUGAAUGCAAAUGAACUUGGAAUGUUUAACUUCUUUUGGUUGUUUAUGGACUUAAGACUUUAAUGAUUUAUUGAUUUAUGGACUUUCAAGAA